UUUUCCCAGUCAUUGCAAGAUUUCCAGUUUGAAUGUAUUGGUGAUGCUGAAACAGAUGAUGAAAUUAGUAUUGCUCAGUCACUAAAAGAAUUUGCAAGACUACUCAUUGCAGUAGAAGAAGAAAGGCGAAGACUGAUCCAAAACGCUAAUGAUGUAUUAAUUGCACCACUUGAGAAAUUUCGAAAAGAACAGAUAGGUGCAGCAAAAGUAAGUGUUACAUUUUAUUAUUCUUCAGUUAUUCUCCUGAUAAUUAAAGAUGACAUAAUUUCAGAUGUUAACAUUUUUGAAAUUAGAAUGACCUUUUAAAAGAUUUUGUACAUCAUUUAAAACUUUUUGCAUAGAGACUUACAAAGACUGGACUUCUUUUAGACAUAAAAGAUGUUAUUAUUCUACUGAGUAGAUAAAAAGCAUGUUAUAAAUGAGUUCUUCCUUUCCCAAAAAUUAUAGGAAAUUAAUGAUUUUGAAGACACAGUGAAAUUAUGAGGAGC
Molecule: small RNA, 488 nt
Filed under: Pan troglodytes (chimpanzee)
Lineage: Eukaryota; Metazoa; Chordata; Mammalia; Primates; Hominidae
Description: retained intron
Source: RNAcentral